Molecule: unclassified non-coding RNA, 233 nt
Filed under: uncultured fungus
Lineage: Eukaryota; Fungi
Description: sequence contains ITS1
Source: RNAcentral
GUAUUGUAUUGCGUUAAACGCGGCAUACAUUCCAUAAGACUUUAUUACAGAGUGUGUGUAAAGAUGCAGAACCACAACAGGAGGACAGAGUCCCCCCAGCCAUAGAACUACAGAGGGUGCACAGGUGUGAGUGGAUGUGCGAACAGAGCGUGCACAUGCCCCCAUUUUGAGGACCAGCAACAACUCGUGUUGACAAUUCAGUAAUGAUCCUUCCGCAGGUUCACCUACGGAAA